RNAcentral lists this ribosomal RNA (357 nucleotides) under Protodriloides symbioticus. RNAcentral describes it as "partial 16S ribosomal RNA". It matches the Rfam family "Archaeal large subunit ribosomal RNA", at positions 2027 to 2593 of the family's 2987-position model. Lineage: Eukaryota; Metazoa; Annelida; Polychaeta; Protodrilidae. The record is from RNAcentral.
GCAAAGGUAGCAUAAUCAUUCGCCCUUUAAUUGUGGGCUAGUAUGAACGGAUAAACAAGAAUUUUUCUGUCUCAUAAAUACCAAUAAAAUCUAUUAUUCAGGCGAAUAAACCUGAAUAAAACUACAGGACAAGAAGACCCUAUCGAGCUUUAUUAAAUAAUAAAUAAAAAACUAUAAUAUAAAUAUAUCCAUUAAAAUUAAUUUGGUUGGGGCGACACAGGAAUAAAUAAAACUUCCUCAAUAAAAAAGAUUUAUCUAUCUAUUAAUUGACCCAUUUUCAUGCUUACAAAAUAAGCUACCGUAGGGAUAACAGGCUAAUUUUUCUCACGAGCUCAAAUCUACAGAAAAGAUUGGCAC